AGCGGACGCUGGCGGCAGGCUUAACACAUGCAAGUCGAACGGGCAUAGCAAUAUGUCAGUGGCAGACGGGUGCGUAACGCGUGGGAACGUACCUUUUGGUUCGGAACAACACAGGGAAACUUGUGCUAAUACCGGAUAAGCCCUUACGGGGAAAGAUUUAUCGCCGAAAGAUCGGCCCGCGUCUGAUUAGCUAGUUGGUAGGGUAAUGGCCUACCAAGGCGACGAUCAGUAGCUGGUCUGAGAGGAUGAUCAGCCACAUUGGGACUGAGACACGGCCCAAACUCCUACGGGAGGCAGCAGUGGGGAAUAUUGGGCAAUGGGCGAAAGCCUGAUCCAGCCAUGCCGCGUGAGUGAUGAAGGCCCUAGGGUUGUAAAGCUCUUUUGUGCGGGAAGAUAAUGACGGUACCGCAAGAAUAAGCCCCGGCUAACUUCGUG
This 435-nucleotide ribosomal RNA is filed under the name uncultured bacterium. RNAcentral describes it as "partial 16S ribosomal RNA". It matches the Rfam family "Bacterial small subunit ribosomal RNA", at positions 29 to 507 of the family's 1533-position model. The record is from RNAcentral.